Non-coding RNA from Cavia porcellus (domestic guinea pig), 60 nucleotides. The record is from Rfam. NCBI's taxonomy places the organism in Eukaryota, Metazoa, Chordata, Mammalia, Rodentia, Caviidae.
GGGGAUUUAGCUCAGCGGCAUAAGUGCCUGCCUUGCAAGCAGGCAGUCGUUCGAUCCCCA